Molecule: ribosomal RNA, 274 nt
Filed under: uncultured bacterium
Lineage: Bacteria
Description: partial 16S ribosomal RNA
Rfam family: Bacterial small subunit ribosomal RNA
Source: RNAcentral
AUACAUAGGCUCCAAGCGUUGUUCGGAAUUACUGGGCGUAAAGCGAGUGUAGGCGGUCCGUUAGGUCGAUUGUGAAAUCUCCCGGCUCAACUGGGAGGGUGCAGUCGAAACCAGCGGGCUAGAGUACGGAAGGGGAAAGUGGAAUUCCUGGUGUAGCGGUGAAAUGCGUAGAUAUCAGGAGGAACAUCAGUGGUGAAGACGGCUUUCUGGACCGUAACUGACGCUGAGACUCGAAAGCGUGGGGAGCAAACAGGAUUAGAAACCCCGGUAGUCC